UGCCAGCCGCCGCGGUAAUACGUAAGUCCCAAGCGUUACUCGAAAUUACUGGGUGUAAAGCGUUUGUAGGCGGAUAAGAAAGUCAGAUAUGAAAGACCGAGGCUCAACCUCGUGUUUGUGUUUGAAACUCCUUAUCUAGAAUCAGGGAGAGGUAAGCGGAAUUCUAAGUGUAGGGGUGCAAUCCGUAGAUACUUAGAAGAACACCAAAAGCGAAGGCAGCUUACUGGAACUCGAUUGACGCUGAGAAACGAAAGCGUGGGGAGCGAAGAGGAUUAGAUA
RNAcentral lists this ribosomal RNA (279 nucleotides) under uncultured bacterium. Its description in RNAcentral is "partial 16S ribosomal RNA". It matches the Rfam family "Bacterial small subunit ribosomal RNA", at positions 506 to 784 of the family's 1533-position model. The record is from RNAcentral.